GUCUAUGGCUGUACCACCCUAAAUGCACUGAAUCUUGUCUGAUCUUGGAAGGUAAGCAGGGUUGGGCCUGGUUAAUACUUGGAUGGGAGAUUGCCUAGGAAUACUGGGUGAUGGAGGCU
Ribosomal RNA from Tupaia belangeri (northern tree shrew), 119 nucleotides. The record is from Ensembl. Lineage: Eukaryota; Metazoa; Chordata; Mammalia; Scandentia; Tupaiidae.